Molecule: ribosomal RNA, 588 nt
Filed under: Lactiplantibacillus plantarum
Lineage: Bacteria; Bacillati; Bacillota; Bacilli; Lactobacillales; Lactobacillaceae
Description: bacterial SSU rRNA
Rfam family: Bacterial small subunit ribosomal RNA
Source: RNAcentral
GAACAUAUCUGAGAGUAACUGUUCAGGUAUUGACGGUAUUUAACCAGAAAGCCACGGCUAACUACGUGCCAGCAGCCGCGGUAAUACGUAGGUGGCAAGCGUUGUCCGGAUUUAUUGGGCGUAAAGCGAGCGCAGGCGGUUUUUUAAGUCUGAUGUGAAAGCCUUCGGCUCAACCGAAGAAGUGCAUCGGAAACUGGGAAGCUUGAGUGCAGAAGAGGACAGUGGAACUCCAUGUGUAGCGGUGAAAUGCGUAGAUAUAUGGAAGAACACCAGUGGCGAAGGCGGCUGUCUGGUCUGUAACUGACGCUGAGGCUCGAAAGUAUGGGUAGCAAACAGGAUUAGAUACCCUGGUAGUCCAUACCGUAAACGAUGAAUGCUAAGUGUUGGGGGGUUUCCGCCCUUCAGUGCUGCAGCUAACGCAUUAAGCAUUCCGCCUGGGGAGUACGGCCGCAAGGCUGAAACUCAAAGGAAUUGACGGGGGCCCGCACAAGCGGUGGAGCAUGUGGUUUAAUUCGAAGCUACGCGAAGAACCUUACCAGGUCUUGACAUACUAUGCAAAUCUAAGAGAUUAGACGUUCCCUUCGGGGA